Molecule: long non-coding RNA, 834 nt
Organism: Ipomoea nil (Japanese morning glory)
Lineage: Eukaryota; Viridiplantae; Streptophyta; Magnoliopsida; Solanales; Convolvulaceae
Exons: 2
Source: RefSeq, a predicted model, not a curated record
AUCCUAACUUAUGUUUAUUAAAUUCAUAGAUACUGAUCCCACACCAGGAUAUGUUGAGUGCACCGGAAGGAGUCGCACCAUUUGUGACACCGCUAAAAAUGUUACUUGCAGAUCCAAAAAAGAGCACUACCACUAAUAACAUGCGCUAAUUUGUUUGCAACAACUGUACUUUAGCAGGACACCCGCGCUGUUUGUCUUAUGGCAUUGGAUUUUAAACCAACUAGACCCUAACAUGUAAGCGUGUAACACCGCACACAAGGUAUAAGCUAAGCAUUCACGUAAGUGGUUUUUUGCAUUUAAACUAUUCGUUUUUAAUUUUGUGUGCUUAAUUUGUGUUCAGAAAUAUGGAAUUAUUUGCACAUAAUGGGUGGACCGCACUUUAUUCUGAUUUCUUAUCUUUACAAUACAACACAGAAGUGCUGAGUAGGUGUCAUUGAUGCAUGGCGUUGUGUCAUAAAUGACAGGGAGAAAAUGAAAAAGAGGGACAGCCCUAAUCGGGUUUUUUUGCUUCUACCUACAUAACAAUAUGGAAGCAACUUAAAAGAAAUAGAGAGGGAGUAAAUCACAAGCUGGCAUGUAUCGACCACCAUCAUUGCAUGCAUUAUUUGAAGGCUCGGAAGAAGCAAGUACACACGUAAGGGCAACACCGCGUAAUGAAAUCUCUAAGCUAGGCAAUUGGUGGAUACUGAUUCUGAGCGUACUGUUCUUUAUCAGACAUUCAUCCUUCCUUCCUUCCUUCAUUCCUUGUUACUUUAUUUGUCAAACAUGACACUAUUUUUUGUCUGUAAAUAAUUUUGAUGUUUAAAUAUAGUCAUUUUUUAAAUUUAGUAUGUA